RNAcentral lists this transfer RNA (70 nucleotides) under Cordylochernes scorpioides. RNAcentral describes it as "tRNA-Thr". The record is from RNAcentral. Lineage: Eukaryota; Metazoa; Arthropoda; Arachnida; Pseudoscorpiones; Chernetidae.
GAUAGCCUAGUGGACAUGGCAUCUGCCCGGUAAGCGGAACACUGUGGGUUCGAUUUUCAUCCCUUUUCCG